UACGAAGGGGACUAGCGUUGUUCGGAUUUACUGGGCGUAAAGCGCGCGUAGGCGGAUCGCUAAGUCAGGGGUGAAAUCCCAAGGCUCAACCUUGGAACUGCCUUUGAUACUGACGAUCUGGAGAUUGGGAGAGGUGAGUGGAAUUCCGAGUGUAGAGGUGAAAUUCGUAGAUAUUCGGAGGAACACCAGAAGCGAAGGCGGCUCACUGGCCCAAUACUGACGCUGAGGCGCGACAGCGUGGGGAGCAAACAGG
Molecule: ribosomal RNA, 253 nt
Filed under: uncultured bacterium
Lineage: Bacteria
Description: partial 16S ribosomal RNA
Rfam family: Bacterial small subunit ribosomal RNA
Source: RNAcentral